Molecule: ribosomal RNA, 253 nt
Filed under: uncultured bacterium
Lineage: Bacteria
Description: partial 16S ribosomal RNA
Rfam family: Bacterial small subunit ribosomal RNA
Source: RNAcentral
UACGUAGGGUGCGAGCGUUAAUCGGAAUUACUGGGCGUAAAGCGUGCGCAGGCGGUUUUGUAAGCCAGGGGUGAAAUCCCCGGGCUCAACCUGGGAAUGGCAUUUGGGACUGCAAGGCUGGAGUGCGGCAGAGGAGACUGGAAUUCCUGGUGUAGCAGUGAAAUGCGUAGAUAUCAGGAGGAACACCGAUGGCGAAGGCAGGUCUCUGGGCUGACACUAACGCUCAUGCACGAAAGCGUGGGGAGCAAACAGG